AUACGGAGGGUGCAAGCGUUACUCGGAAUCACUGGGCGUAAAGCGCGCGCAGGCGGGCUGAUAAGUUGGAUGUGAAAGCCUACGGCUCAACCGUAGAACUGCAUCCAAAACUGUCAAGCUAGAGUCUGGGAGGGGAAGAUGGAAUUAGUUGUGUAGGGGUAAAAUCCGUAGAGAUAACUAGGAAUACCAAAAGCGAAGGCGAUCUUCUGGAACAGUACUGACGCUGAGGCGCGAAAGCGUGGGGAGCAAACAGGAUUAGAAACCCGAGUAGUCC
Molecule: ribosomal RNA, 274 nt
Filed under: uncultured bacterium
Lineage: Bacteria
Description: partial 16S ribosomal RNA
Rfam family: Bacterial small subunit ribosomal RNA
Source: RNAcentral